RNAcentral lists this ribosomal RNA (424 nucleotides) under uncultured bacterium. Its description in RNAcentral is "partial 16S ribosomal RNA". It matches the Rfam family "Bacterial small subunit ribosomal RNA", at positions 354 to 796 of the family's 1533-position model. The record is from RNAcentral.
GUGGGGAAUAUUGGCAAUGGGCGAAAGCCUGACCCAGCAACGCCGCGUGAAGGAAGAAGGUUUUCGGAUCGUAAACUUCUAUCCUUGGUGAAGAUAAUGACGGUAGCCAAGAAGGAAGCCCCGGCUAACUACGUGCCAGCAGCCGCGGUAAUACGUAGGGGGCAAGCGUUGUCCGGAAUGAUUGGGCGUAAAGGGCGCGUAGGCGGCCUGGUAAGUCUGGAGUGAAAGUCCUGCUUUUAAGGUGGGAAUUGCUUUGGAUACUGUCGGGCUUGAGUGCAGGAGAGGUAAGUGGAAUUCCCGGUGUAGCGGUGAAAUGCGUAGAGAUCGGGAGGAACACCAGUGGCGAAGGCGACUUACUGGACUGUAACUGACGCUGAGGCGCGAAAGUGUGGGGAGCAAACAGGAUUAGAAACCCUAGUAGUCC